UGGCACUCCAGAUGUUUUGGACUACACCUCCCAUGGUGCUUUGCCAGCAUUAUGAGGGAUGUAGUCCACAACAUCUGGAGUGCCG
This 85-nucleotide microRNA precursor is filed under the name Pelobates cultripes (western spadefoot toad). Lineage: Eukaryota; Metazoa; Chordata; Amphibia; Anura; Pelobatidae. The record is from RNAcentral.